This 253-nucleotide ribosomal RNA is filed under the name uncultured prokaryote. Its description in RNAcentral is "partial 16S ribosomal RNA". It matches the Rfam family "Bacterial small subunit ribosomal RNA", at positions 524 to 776 of the family's 1533-position model. The record is from RNAcentral.
GACGUAGGGGGCGAGCGUUGUUCGGAAUCACUGGGCUUAAAGGGCGCGUAGGCGGGCAGGCAAGUCCGGGGUGAAAUCUUUCGGCUCAACCGGAAAAGGGCCUUGGAUACUGCUUGUCUGGAGGGAGGUAGGGGCAGAUGGAACUUCCGGUGGAGCGGUGAAAUGCGUUGAUAUCGGAAGGAACGCCGGUGGCGAAAGCGAUCUGCUGGACCUCUACUGACGCUGAGGCGCGAAAGCCAGGGGAGCAAACGGG